RNAcentral lists this ribosomal RNA (253 nucleotides) under uncultured bacterium. RNAcentral's name for it is "partial 16S ribosomal RNA". It matches the Rfam family "Bacterial small subunit ribosomal RNA", at positions 524 to 776 of the family's 1533-position model. The record is from RNAcentral.
GACGAAGGAUGCAAGCGUUAUCCGGAUUCAUUGGGUUUAAAGGGAGCGUAGGUGGUCUUCUAAGUCAGUGGUGAAAUCUCUGGGCUUAACCCAGAAAUUGCCAUUGAUACUGUAGGACUUGAGUAUAGUUGCCGUUGGCGGAAUAUGACAUGUAGUGGUGAAAUACAUAGAGAUGUCAUAGAACACCGAUUGCGAAGGCAGCUAACGAAACUAUAACUGACACUGAGGCUCGAAAGUGCGGGGAUCAAACAGG